Cotesia glomerata is the source of this 1236-nucleotide long non-coding RNA. RefSeq lists it as uncharacterized. The record is from RefSeq and is a predicted model, not a curated record. NCBI's taxonomy places the organism in Eukaryota, Metazoa, Arthropoda, Insecta, Hymenoptera, Braconidae. The transcript has 4 exons.
UAUAAUGUAUUAUACAAAUAUAUAUAUAUAUAGGUAUGAUAUAUAUGUUAUAUAUUGGUAACGCGAACGUGUGCUAAACAGUGUACGAGAGUAAUAAUAAUGGACGCGUUUAUAAAAAAAGAGAGAAGCACGACGAGCUGACUACUGAAGAAAAAUGCGUGCGUCCUCACGCGGCGUCGGUUUCCGGCGAAAUACCCGAGAGCGCAGCGUCGUCAGGGGAACCCUACCGAGAAACAACGAACGAUGACGGUCAGAGAGUGGGAGUUACCGAAUGAGUCGAACCUCUGUCGAGAUAUUAUGUUAUUAGCGUUGUUUCUAUUACUAUAUAUAUACCCUACAUACACUUUUGCACACUGGGUACAUCUACGUGGAUGUGUAGUUGUGUAAGAGACAGCGGAUUCAUCGUAACGAAAGAGUGGGACCAUCGGGAGAGGGUGAUGGGGAAGAGGACAAGGGGAGAAGAAACGCCGAGCGAAGAAAAAGGACCAUCUGCGCAAGAAGUUAUGUCGGAGCGAGAUGAUAAUACCAAAAGUGACAGAAUGAGGAGCUUUAUUAAAGCAAGAGCAAGAUGACAAUGUUUAUAAUGUUUUAUAGGGGAAGAAGUAUGUGAUAGAUGUAUAUGUAAUCAAAGAAGGGGUAAAAAGACAAGAUAGGCCAAAGGCGAUAUAUAUGUAUACAUUCAUCGAGGUUGAAAAAAAUAAUUUUUUUUAAGCGGGAAGAUUUAUAAAUUUAAAUUGAAGGAUUUAAUAAUAAUUAUAAAAGGAUUUGUUAAUAAGAAUAAGGAAUUGUUUUUAAGAUUGUUUGUCAUUGUUGGUUGUUAGAUAUUUGGCUUUGUUUGAAAAAUGAAGAUGGCGCGCGUUUGAAACUCGAUAAAUCCCUGAUUGGCCAUAUUUUAUUUUAAUAUUUAAUAGGCAAGUCUUGAGUGGUGUGUGACUGUGGUAAAUAAUAUUAAUUGUUUAAGCGAGGGGUUCGAGAGUUCGUUGGAUGGAAAGAGCGUCUGGUUUGAGACUAUCUCGCUGGAUUCAAAUAAUGUCUACGUGUGUGGACUCGUAUAUGGUAUAGAUGUCGCGAUAGAGCUCCUGUACACGGCGCAUAUGUGUGAGUGAUAAAGGAUGAUGUUUUCAAAAUGUUUAAGAAUAUUCCCGUAAAUUCUCGAUGUUACUCGAAUAGAAAAAAAAAUAUGUAUCAUUACGACAAUCACAAUCAUGUAUGUCCUCACGUGUUACCGUUAUUAAA